GGGCAUGAUGAAUAUUAAUUUGUAUUAAUAAUAGAAAUUUGAGUUUUUUGGCUCUGGGGAUAGUAUGAUCGCAAGAUUGAAAAUUAAAGAAAUUGACGGAAGAAUACCACAAGGAGUGGAUUGUGCGGCUUAAUUUGACUCAACGCGAGGUAACUUACCAAUAUUUUAUUAUUUUGAGAGAACGGUUUUUUGUUUGAGA
Molecule: ribosomal RNA, 199 nt
Filed under: Vairimorpha ceranae
Lineage: Eukaryota; Fungi; Microsporidia; Nosematidae
Description: Nosema ceranae partial small subunit ribosomal RNA
Rfam family: Microsporidia small subunit ribosomal RNA
Source: RNAcentral